AUUGAACGCUGGCGGCAUGCCUUACACAUGCAAGUCGAACGGUAACGGGCCUUCGGGUGCCGACGAGUGGCGAACGGGUGAGUAAUGCAUCGGAACGUACCUUUCAGUGGGGGAUAACGUAGCGAAAGUUACGCUAAUACCGCAUACGAUCUACGGAUGAAAGCGGGGGAUCGCAAGACCUCGCGCGAGUGGAGCGGCCGAUGUCAGAUUAGGUAGUUGGUGGGGUAAAGGCUCACCAAGCCAACGAUCUGUAGCUGGUCUGAGAGGACGACCAGCCACACUGGAACUGAGACACGGUCCAGACUCCUACGGGAGGCAGCAGUGGGGAAUUUUGGACAAUGGGCGCAAGCCUGAUCCAGCCAUUCCGCGUGCAGGAUGAAGGCCUUCGGGUUGUAAACUGCUUUUGUACGGUAACGAAACGGCGAGCUCUAAUACAGUUUGCUAAUGACGGUACCGUAAGAAUAAGCACCGGCUAACUACGUG
This 483-nucleotide ribosomal RNA is filed under the name uncultured bacterium. Its description in RNAcentral is "bacterial SSU rRNA". It matches the Rfam family "Bacterial small subunit ribosomal RNA", at positions 30 to 507 of the family's 1533-position model. The record is from RNAcentral.